CUCGUAACUGGGGAAAGCCCACUUAAUGCGCAAGAUAGGAAGUUUAAUUUACCAACAUGGCGAACUUGGUAAGAAACCUGACUUGCAAUUUUGAUUGAAAUGAUUUCAAAGCGGCUUGCGCUUAUAAAUGCUGUUUUAAUUGAUGAGAAUAGACAAUUUUAUUGUUUCCUGACUCUGAAAACAACACAAAUUAUUUUCACUUUCACCCAAGUCAGAAGUAGUUGUUUCCCGUGCGAAUAAAAUUAUUUUGAUGACCAUUUCUUUUGAAGCUUUCAGUGAUAUUGUUGGCCUUUUUCAAAACUACCUCUACCCUUUUUUAUUGGGAAAAUAUGCGUAAUAUACAUCAAAUUGGGAAUUUUAGAAUAAACCAUAAAUUUGACUGAAAGUUAAAUUUACAGACCCCAUUUCCAGUCUUCAUGAUUAGUGGCAGCCCAGGCUUGUAAAAUUGCUCUUGGGCCUGUAAAAUUCAUAUCUACAGGCCAACAGAUUCUAACUAAAAAUUUUCAAAAAUUGAGCUCCUUGCCUGUAGAUUUAACGGUUCAUCGUGAAGACUACAUUUCAAGAGUCAAAUCCUGCUUUGAAAUAAGACCUCUUUUUGUCAGUGGUGAUACAUAAACAGAAAUAGACCUUCAAAUCUGCACAUACAUGUAUAGUAAUUAAGGCAUGAAAAAAAGUAUAAAUGAGUGUUUUUUUAGUUUGAAUUCAUGCACAAGUUGACUGAAACUGCACUGUUUGGGAAAAUAGUUGUCUUUUUGGGAAUAAUUUUAAGCCAUUUUUAAUUUCAAAUUGUGAUUCUUCUCCAGGGGAAAAAGCCUUUAUUCUCCAUUAAUUUAAGGCAAACAAUAUCACUGGCUUUUGAGACGUUUCGGCCACACAACCAGUUCGACCACAUGUAGUUUCUUUCACAGGACUAGUUCGACCACGUUCGUUCGACCACAGUUGUAAAGGCAAAAAUCGGUGUGCCAACAUUUGAUCUAUUUAUCUAUCUUCAUAUUUCCACACUCAGUCACAACUUUGACUAUUACGUGCCAUUUCAUUGCAUUGGUGAAUAGAAAAAAAUAAAGCUGGGCUCACACUACUUCAGAAUUAUAGGGAGAAGUGACUUCUCUUUUUGAAACUGAUAGGGCCGAGAAAAAAAAGAUCCGUGUUUCCGGUAACCCGACCGACCCUGUUUUUUUAGCCCCGACCCUAACUUUUUUAUUGGAUCUUCCAAAAAAAAAAAAAAAAAAAAAAUUUAUCAACCGACCCUGUUUUUGACACAGGCUUCUGAUAGAUGACAUGAUAUUUUUUCUCUCUUGCUUCCUCUUGCAUAGAAAGCCAGUAAAACAUUUUAUUAAUGUCAAAAGGUAUUCCAAAUACAUGUAGGUUAAAAUCCAAGAAAUUUGCACAGCAGGUGCUUCAAAAACAUUGCAAAUGGCACACUUCCGGUUUUUGAAACUAAUUACGGAUCCGGACUUGGAAAAAACAUGAUAAAUUUUCCGGAUUUCAUUUACGAUGUCAAAAAAAAAAAAAAAAAAAAAAAAAAAAGAAUUCCGACCUACCGACCCUAUUUUUCAAAAUGAUGUUACCGGAAACAGAUAUCUUUUUUUUUUAGGCCUAGGGAGAAAUGGUGAGAUUUGAAAGAGAAGUGCUCAUUCGUGCGGUGCGCUACAAUGUUUGGAUUUUACUAUAGUAUAAAGGGUCAUAUGUAAAUGUUCCGGACCAUAUGAGUAUUUGGACCAUACGCGUAUGGUCAUGACCAUAUGGGUAUAUACUCAUAUGGUCCGACCAUACGCGUAUGGUCGGGGUAAUUAACACUCUGUUACAGUUUACUUGUAAUACUUCUAACCUCUUCAUAUGGUAUGACCGUUCAUUCAAAAGACGCUAUCAUAUAGGUAAUUUUAUCGUUAUAUUAUAAUAAAAAGAUAAGCUAAAUAAAAAUAAGAAGUUUCACAUUGUUAAUUUUACGUAAUUGUCAAAUUUAAAGUAAACACAUUUUAUACCGAUGGUCAUUACCGAUGGUCAUAACCGAUUUGUUAUUACGAGUAAAUGGCAAUAUGUCGACUAAAAAAUUAAAUUCCAAAAAUUUCUUAAUGAACUGUUACAUAAGAAGUCACUGGAAAGUAGCAUACUAUUAGUUUAUUUAAGUUGUGUUGUGAAGAUGGUGUAUUGCAGUCAACCACUUUACGAUAUUUGAGAUCUAGAGCUUCUUAAAAACACUGUAGACAUCAGAAUUGCCAAAGACCUCGGUAUCACUGUACGCAGCUGCAAAAAAAAGGCUUGUUUUUUCACUCGCAAACAAAAUGUGUAAAUGAAAAAGAUCGUGCACAAAACUUGCAAAUGCAAAAAAGCUAUGAUACCGUGUGGAAGUGAAUGUCAUCCAAGCCUACAUGCACUAAUGUAACUAGCGAUGAAAACUAACUAUGGCAUCAAUAUUAAAUUUUUACGUAGUUUUUUUUUAUUAUAAAAUUAAAAAAUUGUCAUGUUUUAAACCAUCACUGUUUUUUUUAGAUAAAGUUCUUGUAUUAUUGAAACGUUUAUAAUGUAAUUUGGAAAAAUAAAUAUACCUAUAUGGUCCAAAUACUCAUAUGGUCCGGCCCGUUAAUAACCAAACGAGUAUUAUACUCAUAUGGUCCGACCAUACGCGUAUGGUCGGACCAUAUGAGUAUACGCAUAUGGUCAUGACCAUACGCGUAUGGUCCAAAUACUCAUAUGGUCCGGAACAUAAAUAAAGUUCUUUUUAUAUUAUUCAAUUCAUAUCUGAGUAUACAAUUAAAGUAACAUUUCAAAUUAAAAGUUGUUUAAGUUUAACUAAGGUUUUGAGAAACUACAAACUAAAUAUUUAUAUCUAGCACUAAAAAAAAUUUUUUUUAUUUUAAAAAAUGUAAAGAAAUUAUAAUAUAUAUCAAUUACGAUUUAAUUCAAAUCUAUCUUGUGUAUGAAAUUCAGUGCUUCUCAUAAAAAAAUAUAAAAGUUAUUAAGCUGGGCCAUAAUAUAAUUAAUAGUCUCAGAGUUAAGCAACUUUGAAACAAUCCAUAAAAAAUAUAGGGAAUUAUAUACACCAAUCAAUUAGAUGUAACCAAAAAUCUCUUAAUGCUUGUGGAAUAUGUAAUUUUUCCCUUUGGGAUCAAUAUUCUUCUGUCAGCUGUUCCAUCCGUGCGUCCGUAGUUAUUACUGUAAAAGUACGGAUUUCGGUCAUAGCUGGUCCGGUUCAGAUCCGUAGUUUAGAAAUCGGUCAAUGGCGGACGAAUGCAAGAAAAUUUACAAAAAUAAACGAUGUUUGACAAGUUAUUUGGAAAGGAACAUGACGUUUUUAAUGCAAUAAAUGGAUUGAACUUUUACUUUAGGCAACUUUAAUCACGUUUAAAUGAAGUAACAAACUUAUUUUGCCGCCGAAAUUUAGGUUGAUGUACGUUUUCGAGUAACAACCACCGGAACUCGCGGAAAUGCACGAAGUGAUAAAAAGUUGUAUUUUUAUCAAAUAACCUGCUACACACUGCAAAGACAAUGCUUCAACCUCUUUUCUUAAGAUAAUCAAUCGUUUAGGUCUAAAUUUCUUUAAUUAUCAAUAAAAAAUUGAUGAUUCAUCAACUUGGAAAAUAUUGAAAAUGUCCGAUGACGGAAGCGACUGAAAGCGAGUAUCGUCAAGAACAGGGCAACUUGUUUUUCGCUUUUGGGGGUCGGGGAAAGCGAAUUGACGGUCGGGAAAGCGACUUCUUCGCCCAAGUCGCCUGGUAGCGUGAGCCCUGUAAAGUAAAAAUAUAACAUUGAUUUAAUUAAAUUUUGUUGUGGAUUGUUAUCCUAUGUACAUGAUGUAUAUUAAAGUUAAGAAGAUGAAACUAAAGGCUAAAGCAAACAUUGAUUAUUAAAUAAAAGUAUAUUAUUGAUGUAUUUUAUGACUUAUAAAUGAUUUACAGCUGAAAGCAGAUAAGUUCAUUAAAAACUUUAAAAAUUUAGUGUGUACAUCCAAUAUGACGACCACGGACAUCACAAUGGACGCUAUGUUCUCUGUACACAUUAAAUUUAAAAUGAUCUUUAUGAACUUAUCUGCUUUCUGAAAAUCAUUUUUGAGUUAUAAGAUACAUCGAUAAUAUACUAUUAUUUAAUAAUCAAUGUUUAAAAGUCACCAAUAUGAACUAAUAUUAAAAUUUCAAGUGUUAUUCGGUCAUUACAAGUGUUAUUCGGAUAAUAACAGUGUUAUUCGGUCAUUCGUGUUACCUGACUACAAGUAUAGCACAUUAUAUAUCUUUUAAUUGGAACUUCACAAUAGUGUGUCUUCCAUUAGUUAUUCAGAGGCUAGACAGAAACUCAUACAUGAGAUAUACCUUAACACGGGAUCGUUACAUAUUGAUUUGGAACUUUUAUUGUCAAUAGAAAAAAACUACAAUUUCUCCAUCUCUAAUGAAACACUAAUGAGAUUGUUUGGUGACUUUAUUUGCGAGUCGCGCCAAUUUGAUUAAUGAAACAUUAUUAGGUCUUUCCACUUUUCUGUGAAAAGACCUAUUGUAUUUCUUCUGAUCUUUUUUUUUUCUUCCGCCUAAUUUUGUUCUUGUCAUAAACAUUUGUUUUGCAAUAUGUCGCUUAGAUAUUUCUCAUAUGGUGUCGUAUAGUUCAUGCGCUUUUAAAUUUCAUCCUGUUAAGACGAACAAUUUUCUUAGUAAGAGAACUUUAUUUCCCCGAACACGUUUUUACUGUUUUCCUUGUGCCUACAUCUCCUCCAUAACCGUAAAAGAAAGUGACAAAUUUAUUUUAUAAAAUUGCUCGUUAUAUCCUUAGCAUGAUUUGUCCUAUUUUGACUGAAGCAAUAUGAACCCUCCAAACGAGAGUUAUUUCCCCGUAUGCAUUUCCAUCUUGUAAACCAUUAGUGAUAGAGACCUAGGAUCUUUUGAUUUGAGGUCCUUGGUCCACAAAAAUAAGGUCAAGGUCAAAGGUCAAGGUCAUCUUCUAAUUUUUGAAUUUGGCUUAUUUUCACUUAUUUUAGAAAAACGUAUAAGAUAUCAACAGAUUAUUUUUACUAAAUUGUUAGUUGCGAAAUGUCGUAACACGUAAAUUUUGAUUGCAAGGGUACGUUGAACGUAAAAGGGAGUUUUCUCCCACUCUUGUAUUAAAAAAUAUGUGUAUGGUGAUAUAACUCAUUAACCAAAUAUAAUUAAGACCUAUGGUCUUUUGAUUUGAGGUCCUUGGUUUAUGACCUUGAAAUUGAUCUCAAGGUUAUAGUUUAAUUUGACGUUCUAGAUUUUGACCUUUGCUUUUACCUCAUAUGUAUACAUGAUGAAGCCAUGAGACUUUUGGCAAUAGGUUUCAAACCAUUUAACAACCGGAAGUGACCUUGUGUAAACUGAAAGUAGCUAUUUUUAUACGACCGCAAAAAUUUUAAUUUUUUUGUCGUAUAUUGCUAUCACGUUGGCGUCGUCGUCGUCCGAAUACUUUUAGUUUUCGCACUCUAACUUUAGUAAAAGUGAAUAGAAAUCAAUGAAAUUUUAACACAAGGUUUAUGACCACAAAAGGAAGGUUGGGAUUGAUUUUGGGAGUUUUGGUCCCAACAUUUUAGGAAUUAGGGGCCAAAAAGGGCCCAAAUAAGCAUUUUCUUGGUUUUCACAAUAUAACUUUAGUUUAAGUGAAUAGAAAUCUAUGAAAUUUUGACACAAGGUUUAUGACCACAAAAGGACGGUUGGGAUUGAUUUUGGGAGUUUUGGUUCCAACAGUUUAGGAAUUAAGGGCCAAAAAAGGGCCCAAAUAAGCAUUAUUCUUGGUUUUUUGCACAAUAACUUUAGUAUAAGUAAAUAGAAAUCAAUGAAAUUUAAACACAAGAUUUAUGACCACAAAAGGAAGGUUGGGAUUGAAUUUUGGAGUUGAGGUCACAACAGUUUAUGAAUAAGGGGCCAAAAAGGGGCCCAAAUAAGCAUUAUUUUUGGUUUUUGCACCAUAACUUUAGUAUAAGUAAAUAGAAAUCUAUGAAAUUUAAACACAAGGUUUAUGACCGUAAAAGGAAGGUUGGGUUUGAUUUUGGGAGUUUUGGUCCCAACAGUUUAGGAAUCAGGGGCCCAAAGGGUCCAAAAUUGAACUUUGUGUGAUUUCAUCAAAAAUUGAAAAAUUUGAUAUGCCGCAUCUAACUAUGUAUGUAGAUUCUUAAUUUUUGGUCCCCUUUUCAAAUUGGUCUACAUUAAGGUCCAAAGGGUCCAAAAUUAAACUUCGUUUGAUUUUGACAAAAAAUGAAUCCUUGGGGUUCUUUGAUAUGCUGAAUUUAAAAAUGUACUUAGAAUUUUAAUUAUUGGCCUAGUUUUCAAGUUGGUCCAAAUGGGGGUUCAAAAUUAAACUUUGUUUGAUUUCAACAAAAAUUGAAUAAAUGGGUUCCUUGAUAUGCCAAAUCUAACUGUGUAUGUAGAUUCUUAAUUUUUGGUCCAUUUUUCAAAUUGGUCUACAUUAAGGUCCAUAGGGUCAAAAAUUAAACUAAGUUUGAUUUUAACAAAAAUUAAAUUAUUGGGCUUAUUUGAUAUGCUUUAUCUAAACAUGUACUUUGAUUUUUGAUUAUGGGCCCAUUUUUCAAGUUGGUCCAAAUCAGGAUUCCAUAUCAAGUAUUGUGCAAUAGCAAGAAAUUUUCAAUUGCACAGUAUUGCACAAUAGCAAGAAAUAUCUAAUAGCACAAUAUUGUGCAAUAGCAAUUAAUUUUCAAUUGGAGUUAUCUUUCUUUGUAUAGAAUAGUAGUUGAUAAUAUAUGUUGGAAAUUUGCCAGACAUGACUAUGAUGUCAUUUUCUAUUUUUAUUUGCCAAUAACUUUAUGUAAAUAACUUCAUUGGAAAUUUGCCAAUAUAAAAUGUUGCUGAUGAAGCUUUUUUUCCUUAUCUUAUCUAAAAUGUUUUUAGAUAAGGUAUGUUGGACAUUUGCCAGACAUGACUAUGAUGUCAUUUUCUAUUUUUAUUUGCCAAUAACUUUAUGUAAAUAACUUCAUUGGAAAUUUGCCAAUAUAAAAUGUUGCUGAUGAAGCUUUUUUUCCUUAUCUUAUCUAAAAUGUUUUUAGAUAAUGUAUGUUGGACAUUUGCCAGACAUUACUAUGAUGUCAUUUUCUAUUUUUAUUUGCCAGUAACUUUAUGUAAAUAACUUCAUUGGAAAUUUGCCAAUAUAAAAUGUUGCUGAUGAAGUUUUUUUUUCCCUUAUCUUAUCUAAAAUAUUUUUAGCUUAAAAGUUGUGUCCAUAUAUACUUGUUCUCAUUUCAGAUUUCAUAAAUAAAAAGAAAAUUUCUUCAAACAUUUUUUUGACAGGACUAAUAUUCAACAGCAUAGUGAAUUGCUCAAAGGCAAAAAAAAUUUUAAGUUCAUUUGACCACAUUCAUUCUGUGUCAGAAACCUAUGCUGUGUUAACUAUUUAAUUUUAGAUUUAAAUAAGUUUGAAGAAGAAAUCUUUAAUUGAUUUGUAAAAUCUUGACAUUUGUUUUGUGUAAAAAACCCAUAUACAAAUGUAAUGUCCAAAAUUUGAUCACAAUCCAAAUUCAGAGCUGUAUCACGCUUAAAUGUUUUGUUCAUACCUGCCCCAACUGUUCAGGGAUCAACCUCUGCGGUCGUAUAAAGCUGCGCCCUGCGGAGCACCUGGUUGUACUUUAUUAAUAUAAUUUAUAAAAGUAUAUAGAACCAGAUAUUUUUGGAAUCAGUGUCAAGUAAAUAUUCAAAUAUUGUCAGAAGUAACAUUUUUCAAACCGAAAGUACCAAAAUUAUCUCCCUUAUUUAAAAAAUAUUGUAUAGAAACCAUAUAUUUUUGGCAUCAGCUUACAAUAAGCUGUCAUUUGUUGAUUGAAAUGACAUUUUAAACUUAAUUUUACUACUUUCAUAUUAAAAUACAUUGUUUUGUGUGGAAAGACCUUCAAUUGUUCUCUGAACAAUUGAUUUUUAAUUAUUAUUAUUUUUUUAUGCCCCACCUACGAUAGUAGAGGGGCAUUAUGUUUUCUGGUCUGUGCGUCCGUUCGUCCGUCUGUCCGUCCGUUCGUUCGUUCGUUCGUCCGUCUGUCCCGCUUCAGGUUAAAGUUUUUGGUCGAGGUAGUUUUUGAUGAAGUUGAAGUCCAAUCGACUUCAAACUUGGUACACAUGUUCCCUAUGAUAUGAUCUUUCUAAUUUUAAUGCCAAAUUAGAGAUUUUACCCCAAUUUCACGGUCCACUGAACAUAGAAAAUGAUAGUGCAAGUGGGGCAUUUGUGUACUGAGGACACAUUCUUGUUUUCUUUUAAUUUUCUUGUAUAGUUGAUAAAUGUAUAUUUUUAAAUUUUUGUCAAAAUAUGUUAAGUUCAGUUGCCACCUAAAAGUAUAUAUUUAUGUACGCAAGACUUGAAUAUUUACAAGGGAGACAAUCCAGUGUCAGAUUUUUUUUUUAAUUUUUUUUUAUUUUAAUUUUUUUUUGCACUUCCUGUCAGAUUUGCAGUCAGUUCAAUGUCAUGUUUGGUUAGGGUCCUGUACCCCAAAAUGAGUCAAUCUCUUUAAAGGAGCUAUAAUUGAUUCUUUGGGCAUAGUAAGAUGCGGAUCUGGAUCAGGCCGGAAACGAUUUUUUUUCUGGAAUUUACAGAAAAAAUCCAGGGUCAACUCGUGGUUUAAAGUCUGGGUUGUUCGAGAACAGGAAACAGACAUAUAUGUUUUUUUGGCCUUAGCUUGGGGACCGUAGCUCUAAUGUCCUUUUUUUUUUUUACUAUUUGCAGACCAUCUGCAAAUAGUCCAUCAAUACCUACUUGUAAAUGUCUUGUGUCAUUUUGGUCUAUUGUGGACAGUUGUCUCAUUGGCAAUCAUACCACAUCUUCUUUUUUACAUGUAAGAGCUAAGGUUCCACAGCUACACAGAUAUCGUGUUAACAAAUUAUUAAUUCUAUGAAGUCGAAAAGAAAUUUGAGUUUGAAAGAAUUGAAAUUGACCAUGCUCUUAGUUCACAAUUUCAGCGAGUAGGUUUGUUUGAGAAAUUAUACAUGACAAAUCGCCCCACUUUUUCAACAACUUGCCCCACUUCCUACAAAAUCGCCCCACUCUUGUUUACCAACUCUGUCACGUGUAGAUUAGUUUUCAUUUAUAUUCAUCUUGAUAUUACCUUUUUUCAUUAAGUGGGGCGAGAUGGCAGGAGUAAAAUAUGGGGUAUAACUUUAACCCUUUUCAGAAGUGAAGCGAGUUGGUAAAAAAGUGCGGCAAUGUGGCCAGCUUCCAUUGUCAGACAUGCAGAAAUUGGACAUGAGUUAUUUGAAUGUUCAUACAAAUGAAAUUAAUUUUACAAUGUCAAAACUUACAAAGAUUAGGAAGACUUGUUUCACAACUAUAAGAUUUAGCUCAUUCCCUGAGAAUCUUAAAGUUGUUCAAUGUAUCUUAGACUACAUUGAUAAAACAGUGAGUCUUCCUUCUAAUGAUUGUUAUCAACUGCCCAUUAGUUUUAUUAGCUCACCUGGCCUAAAAGGCCAUGUGAGCUUUUCUCAUCACUUGGCGUCCGUCGUCGUCGUCGUCGUUAACAAUUUUUCAAACAUCUUCUCCUCUGAAACUACUGAAUGGAUUUGAAUGAAACUUAGCAUGAUUGUUCCUUAGAUUAUCCUGCACAAAGUGUGUGCUUCGAUUUUUGAUCCGUCAAAAAACAUGGCCGCCGUUACUUAAAAUAGAACAUAGGGGUCAAAUGCAGUUUUUGGCUUAUAUCUCAAAAACGAAAGCAUUUAGAGCAAAUCUGACAUGGGGUAAAAAUGUUCAUUAGGUCAAGAUCUAUCAGCCCUGAAAUUUUCAGAUGAAUCAAACAAACCAUUGUUGGGUUGCUGCCCCUUAAUUGGUAAUUUUAAGGAAAUUUUGCAGUUUUUGGUCAUUAUCUUGAAUAUUAUUAUAGAUAAAGAUAAACUGUAAACAGCAAAAAUGAUCAGCAAAGUAAGAUCUACAAAUAAGUUAAUAUGACCAAAAUUGUCAAUUGACUCCUUAAGGGGUUAUUGUCCUUUAAUGACAAUUUUUCACAAUUUGUUCAUCAUAUUUUGCUAACUUUUAAAAAAUCUUCUCCUCUGAAACUACUGAAUGGAUUUGAAUGAAACUUAGCAUGAUUGUUCCUUAGAUUAUCCUGCACAAAGAUUGUGCUUUGAUUUUUGAUCCGUCAAAAAACAUGGCCACUGUUACUUAAAAUAGAACAUAGGGGUCAAAUGCAGUUUUUGGCUUAUAUCUCAAAAACGAAAGCAUUUAGAGCAAAUCUGACAUGGUGUAAAAAUGUUCAUUAGGUCAAGAUCUAUAAGCCCUGAAAUUUUCAGAUGAAUCAAACAAACCAUUGUUGGGUUGCUGCCACUUAAUGGGUAAUUUUAAGGAAAUUUUGCAGUUUUUGGUCAUUAUCUUGAAUAUUAUUAUAGAUAAAGAUAAAACUGUAAACAGCAAAAAUGAUCAGCAAAGUAAGAUCUACAAAUAAGUUAAUAUGACCAAAAUUGUCAAUUGGCCCCUUAAGGGGUAUUGUCCUUUAAUGACAAUUUUUCACAAUUUGUUCAUCAUAUUUGCUAACUUUAAAAAAUCUUCUCCUCUAAAACUACUAAACCAAAUUCAACCAAACUUCAACUAAAGGAUCAGUAGGGUGUAUAAAAUAAAGUUUGUGCUUUAUUUUUUAUUUCGUCAGAAAACAUGGCCGUCAUGGCUAAAAAUAGAACACAGGGUAAAAUGCAGUUUUUGGCUUAUAUCUCAAAAACUCCAGCAUUUAGAGCAAAUAAGACAAGAAGUUAAAGUAUUUAUUAGGUCAAGGUCUACCUGUCCUGAAAUUUUCAGCCGAAUUGGGUUACUGGUUUUUCAGGUAUAAUGCCCCUGAAUUGAUGAUUUUAAAGAAAUUUUGCAGUUUUUGGUUAUUAUCUUGAUAUUUAUUAUAGAUACAGAUAAACUGUUUAUAGCAAAAAUGUUAAGCAAAGUAAGAUCAACAAAUAAGUCAAUUUGACCAAAAUUGUCAAUUGACCCCUGAAGGAGUUAUUGCCCUUUAAAGACUUUUUUCACAAUUUGUUCAUCAUGUAGACUUACUUUAAAAAAUCUUCUCCUUUGAAACUGCUGUAUCAAUUUCAGCCAAACUUAGGCUAAAUGAGUCAUGUGAGUUUCAGAGUAUCUAGUAUAAAUUUAAUAUUUCAUUUCCUUGUAUGUCAGAAACAUAGCUCCUAUGGCUAAAAUAGAACAUAGGAGAAAAUGAUUUUUUUUUUGCUUUUGAAGAAAAUAGGACGAUUCAAAGAACAUUUAAAUAAAUUGAAAAGCCAAAAUAAUCAUUGAUGAGAGAUUUAACCAAAAAAAUUAAGGUGAGCCUGUUAAACCUCACAAACCAGUCAUAUCAUGCACAAUUCAAUUGCCUAUUGGUUAAAACGUAUACAAGAAUCUGCAGACGUAGAUACUGAUAUUUUCAAACAACAUUCAACUCGGGUUGUUCACUAAAACAAACAAGUACAGAACCUAGACUUUGUUUUUGCUUAAAUUAAAAUAUAUAAUAAAUUGAUAAAGAUAAGCAAGGAUUUGUAUAGAAAUCUUUGAUAUUUAUAGAAUAACUGAUCGAAGAAUUGAAAAAGAGAAAAAUAUUCAACGAGUGACCAAUCAACACAUUAAUUCACGAAUGCGCGUAGCGCAUGAGUUAAUUAUCAGUGUUGUUCAGUCACGAGUUAAAUAUUUUUCGAUAUUUGAUUUCCUUUAUUAGUUAUUCUUUUUAUUACAUUGGCAAAUGGUCUUUUUAAAGAAAUUAAAGUAAAACAUGUAAGGAACUGUAUCUUUUUUCUACGCAUUUACAAUUUGUUUUGAUCUGCCGUUAUCAACGUCUUGGCAACGCCUAUUGUUGUAUGACGUCAGAGAGUGUAUUUCACAUAAGAAAUUAUCGGUUUUUAUUUAACAGGGAAAUCAAUGUAAUUCAUUGCAACCAAUGUAAUAAAAGUAAAUAUUUGUACUCACAUUUAACGUACAAUAUUGUUAUAAGACUGCCAAAAAAAUAUGCAAUCAUAUAUUGGUAUCACGUCGUUGUCGUCAGCGUUGUCUUUGUCUGAAGACAUUUGGUUUCAGGACAAUAACUUGUGUAUAAGUAAAUAGAAAUCUAUGAAAUUCAAACACAAGGUUUAUAACCACAAAAGGAAGGUUGGGAUGGAUUAACAGUUUAUGAAUUAGGGGCCUAAAUACAUUUUAGCAUUUUUCUAGUUUUCAGACAAUAACUUGUAGAACUAUGUAUGGAUCUCUCUGAAAUUAUACCACAAGUUUCCUUACAACGAAUUGAUGGUUAAGAUUUACUUUUGGGGGUUAUGGCUAAAACCAUUCAGAAAAAAGGGUAAAAACAAGGGUGUGUCCUGGUUAAUGGACAAUUAUUUAAGUACAAUGUUGUGUUUGAAUUACCUCCCUUACACUGCUUUUAAAUUAUGUAUAAAGAAAUGUUGUAAUGUCUUGAGAUGAUAAGCUGUCAAUUUAUUAUUAGAACUUACUGUUUUAAAAAUGCUGAUUAAACGGGCAGUGGCGAGGAGAUAGAUAUAAAAAUCUGAUUUGAUUUUUUUGCUCAGACAUUUAAUAAUGAUAUGCAAAUAGUGAAAUAAUAAUUCGCUUUUAACCGUCAGUAUAUAUAUAUGGUUUAAUUUUGUCAAAAUAAUCUAAAAAAACAUUGAUUAUGAAUUAUUCACUCGCAAGUGAAUAAUUUGACUUCGUUGAAUCCGAAUUCAUGUGAACUUCAAUUUAACCCCUUAGCUUGAGAUGGAUAACAAGAAAAUUGUAUGUGCAAAGUUAUUUAAAGGAAAACAAUAUCAACAGUGAAAGUGAAACAAAGGUAAAUUAUUUGGAUGACUGAUUCUAUCCUAUUCUCAAAAGAUCAUUCUUAUACACGUAAAAAUGAUGACAAAACAUUUAUUUUUCAUCUUUAAUAUGAAAUUAAACGGAACUAGAAUAAUCCAACAGCAUGAGUUUGCUUAAUCUAUUUAUAUUUAUAUUUAUGUUUACAUCGCUUAUAUGGUCAUCAGAUAACUUUAGAGGUUAAUUCGAUGAUUAAUUAGAUGGCAUCUAGACUAAAAUAACACAAAACGAAGCUACAUAUUUUCAUGCCCAUGCCCUGUUCAUUGUUUAUUUUAAACUUAAUAGUUUGGAUAAAUGUUUUACAUUGUUAUAAAUCAAAUAUCAGAAUUUGAUUAAAAUUGGUGGACAUGUACAUGAAUUUGACAGCUAGUGCCCCUUUUAAUAAGGUACAUUAAUUUUAGUGGCUAUAGCCAUGAUUAUUCAUGUCAUUUUUUUUUUAUGACUUUUAUGAUAUAUUUAAAUGGGCAACUCCAUAGGAAAUUUGAAUUGAGAUCCUGACCAUAUAUUGAGGUAAAGAAUUUGUGGGAAAGAGGGGGGGGACAAUUUUUUUCUCAAGAUUUGAGAAAUUAAAAUGUAAAUUUUUUCAAAUUUUUUUUUUCAACAAAAAAAGGGGGGGGGGGUCAAUUCACAAUGGCAUAGUGUAUUGCACAAUAAAAAAAGAUGGGGUAAAUUAAUUUAUUUUUCAGGGGGCGGGGGGCAAUUCGCUACAGCAUGGUGUAUUGCUCAAAAGCAAAAAAUUGAAUAUUAAUUAUAUAAUCAAUUCCAAGUUCUAUACAGUUUUUCUGUGUCAGAAACCUAUUAUUUGUCAAAUAUUUAAUUACAAAUGUAACAAUCCAAAGUCAGACCUGUAUCAAGCCUUAUACUGUGUUUAUGUUUGCCCAAACUGUUCAGAGUUGAACCUCUGCAGUCGUAUCCAGCUGUGCUCGACGAAGCAAUUUAUUGUAUCAUGUUUUGCAAAUUCACAACAUGCUGAAAUGAUGUAUAAUGUAAAAUAAUUAAAUGUUCAAUGAAUUACAAGUUUCCUCUUGCAAAACAGUAGUAAAUCAAAUAUACACGAAAAUGCCAAACAAUUUUUUAUUGCAGACAUUAUUUUAUGUCACAUAAUCAAAGAAACUUGAUCCUCUGGCCUGUGCAUGGCAAAACUGAUAACAUUAAUUAUUGAACUUUGGAUUAUUUUAAACAGAAGCAUGAUUUCCUUAUUGACUUUAGUACUUAUUUUAUGUGUGACCUUUGACAUGACACCAAAGUCAAGUGACUUGAGAUUCUAAAAGUAAAUAUUUUGUUACAAUCAUGAUAAUUAAUAACAGGAAAUUCUCACUUGUUCUCUUGAUCCAUAAGGGUAUUAUAAUCAAUUAGUUCAAGUGAACUUUUAACCAGUGAACUCUAGAAGUUUGUAUAUUUAAUUUAAAUUUAGGGUAAAGUUCAAAAAUGCCUUUUCCUUCAAUCAUUGUUAUAAUUGUAAAAAGGUUAAUUUUAGAUCAACAAUUGUUUCAAUUCCUUAAUUUAGUCAGAGUAAUAAAAAGAUAAUAAUGAAAUAUAUCAUGAUUCAAAAGACAGAUUUAAAAAAUAUUAAACAUGAUUCAUAUAAAGGUAAAAAAUAAAUUGAGAAUCUGAAUAUAUUCAUAAAAAAGGGACGAAGAAUAUUUAAAUUACCAAAAAUUUCUACUACCUGACAUGCCUGAAUUCCUACAAUUUUGCAAGAAAUGAUAUAUAUACCAACCACAGGAUAUUUUAUUGGGGGAUUGUACUGUUCCAUCAUGUUCAUAAUUUUAAUGGAAGAAAACAACAGUGAGCCAAAUUGAAAUAAAUCCAAAGCAAAUUAUUGCACUGUCAUAACUAUACUUUUAUGCUCUAUUUCUUUUAUGUUUUUUGUAGAAUUAUCCCUCCAUGAGACCCUCAGUCAGAGGAGAACACACUGUUGAUAUUCCAGAAGGACAAUAUGGAGUUCCUAAUGUCAUGCUUCAUGGGUAAGAGGAUUCUAUGUUAUAUACCCUUAUAUAAUAACUCUAUAUAAAUAAAAGAUGUUUGGGUAAACUCAAAGAAGACUAAAGCUCAUCAAACUCC
RNAcentral lists this long non-coding RNA (14793 nucleotides) under Mytilus galloprovincialis (Mediterranean mussel). The record is from RNAcentral. Lineage: Eukaryota; Metazoa; Mollusca; Bivalvia; Mytilida; Mytilidae.